RNAcentral lists this ribosomal RNA (1316 nucleotides) under Opisthonema oglinum (Atlantic thread herring). RNAcentral's name for it is "partial 16S ribosomal RNA". It matches the Rfam family "Bacterial large subunit ribosomal RNA", at positions 539 to 2568 of the family's 2925-position model. The record is from RNAcentral. Lineage: Eukaryota; Metazoa; Chordata; Actinopteri; Clupeiformes; Clupeidae.
UGAAAUAGCGCACUGAAGUAAAUAAAAGCAGAGACCAAACCUCGUACCUUUUGCAUCAUGAUCUAGCCAGUAAUCCCAAGCGAAGAGAUCUCUAGUUUGAACCCCCGAAACCGGACGAGCUACUCCGGGACAGCCUAUUGUAGGGCCAACCCGUCUCUGUGGCAAAAGAGUGGGAAGAUCCCCGAGUAGAGGUGAAAGACCUACCGAGUCAGGUUAUAGCUGGUUGCCCAAGAAAUGAAUAGAAGUUCAGCCCCGUUUAACCCUUAUCCACCGCAGUUUCACUAAAAUUAGGUAACAGGAUACUAACGGGAGUUAGUCAAAGGAGGUACAGCUCCCUUAACAAAGGAUACAACCUUCACAGGAGGCUAAGGGAUACACUAAACCAAGGCCACAGGUUUCAGUGGGCCUAAAAGCAGCCAUCUGAAUAGAAAGCGUUAAAGCUCAGACCGAAUCAAGCCUAUUAUAACAUUAAACACCCUCAAUGCCCCUAACCAAUACUGGGCCCCCCUAUGCCCGCAUAGGAGAGACCAUGCUAGAACGAGUAAUAAGAAGAAUGAACUUCUCCCCGCACAUGUGUAAGUCGAAUCGGACCCGCCAUCGACAAUUAACGAACCCAACAAAAGAGGGAAAUGCACUACUGCCGCACCAGGCCAAGAAGGACACGCAGACUACCCAUCGUUACCCCCACACAGGAGUGCUUAUUAAAGGGAAAGACUUAAAGAAUAAAAAGGAACUCGGCAAACCUAAACCUCGCCUGUUUACCAAAAACAUCGCCUCCUGCCCAUAUGAAUAUAGGAGGUCCCGCCUGCCCUGUGACCAAAAGUUUAACGGCCGCGGUAUUUUAACCGUGCAAAGGUAGCGCAAUCAAUUGUCUUUUAAAUGGAGACCUGUAUGAAUGGCAUAACGAGGGUUUAACUGUCUCUUUUUUCUGGUCAAUGAAACUGAUCUGCCCGUGCAGAAGCGGACAUAACAACACAAGACGAGAAGACCCUAUGGAGCUUUAGACGCCCACCAACCAUGAAAAGCACUCCAGCUUAACGGACCCCCAAACAACAUGGUUCUGGUACAAACGUCUUCGGUUGGGGCGACCACGGGGGAGAGCAAAGCCCCCGAGAGGAUUGGGGGAAACCCUAAAACCAAGAGCCACAGCUCUAAGUCACAAAACAUUUGACCAAUAAUGAUCCGGCUUAUUGCCGAUCAACGGACCAAGUUACCCUAGGGAUAACAGCGCAAUCCCCUCCCAGAGUCCAUAUCGACGAGGGGGUUUACGACCUCGAUGUUGGAUCAGGACAUCCUAAUGGUGCAGCCGCUAUUAA